Molecule: ribosomal RNA, 1860 nt
Filed under: Triticum aestivum (bread wheat)
Lineage: Eukaryota; Viridiplantae; Streptophyta; Magnoliopsida; Poales; Poaceae
Description: partial small subunit ribosomal RNA
Source: RNAcentral
AUGGCUGGAUUCGCUGAUGCACUGAGGCCGGAUAAGUUUACCGGUGUGCACUUUAAGAGGUGGCAGGUGAAGACCACGCUCUGGCUUACUGCUCUGAAAGUUUUCCACGCUAGUGUUGGUGCUCCAGAGGGAAUGACCGACGAAGAUCGGAGAAAAUUCCAGGAAGCCAAUACUAUGUUUGUGGGAUGCAUUCUGAGUGUUCUUGCUGACCGUCUGUGUGAUGUGUACAUGCACAUAAACGACGGAAAAAUUCUGUGGGAUGCACUGAAUGCAAAAUUCGGUGCAACAGAUGCAGGCAGUGAACUGUACAUCAUGGAGAGUUUUCAUGACUACAAGAUGGUGAAUAACCGUUCUGUGGUUGAACAAGCUCAUGAGAUACAGUGCAUUGUGAAGGAACUUGAACUCCUUAAAUGUGUUCUACCCGACAAAUUCGUGGCUGGGUGCAUGAUUGCAAAGUUGCCUCCUUCAUGGAGGAAUUUCGCCACAACUCUGAAGCAUAAGAGACAGGAGAUAUCAGUUGAAAAUCUGAUUGCAUCUCUUGAUGUUGAAGAAAAAGCUCGCGCUAAAGAUACCACUGAAAAAGGAGGUGAGGUUCAGCCUACUGCUAACAUGGUGCAGAGGUACCCACAGAACAAGAACAAAGGGAAGAACAAACCUGUUUUCAACAAGCCUACCAAGACUACUACCUUCAAGAAGAAGAAGUUCAACAAGGCUGAGCUAGAGUGCUACGCCUGUGGGAAGCCUGGACACUUUUCCAAGGAAUGCCCUGAACGUGCAGACCGCAGAGGGAAAACAAGCUCCAAGACUGUCAACAUGGUGACCGCUAGCAAUACUGAUGGGUAUGGUAAUUUACCUAUUGUGCUUUCAGUAUUUCAAUCAUCUUCGUGGUGGAUUGAUUCGGGUGCUAACGUUCAUGUGUGUGCUGACAUCUCCCUGUUUACUUCUUAUCAGGUCGCAAGGGAUUCUUCCGUCCUAAUGGGGAAUGGGUCACAUGCUUCUGUUCGUGGCAUUGGCACGGUGGAUCUGAAGUUUACUUCGAAAAAGAUCGUGCAACUAAGGAACGUGCAGCAUGUCCCUACUAUGAACAAGAAUCUAGUUAGCGGCUCCCUUCUAUGUCGAGAUGGAUUUAAGGUAGUUUUAGAGUCCAAUAAAGUAAUCGUGUCAAGAUUUGGACAAUUUAUAGGAAAAGGCUAUGAGUGCGGAGGCUUGUUCCGUUUUUCUCUUUCAGAUUUUUGCAAUAAGUCAAUAAACCAAAUUUGUGCUAAUGUUAAUGAUGAUGCAAGUAUUUGGCACUCUCGUUUAUGUCAUAUUAAUUUUGGUUUAAUGUCUCGGCUAUCCAGCAUGAGUUUAAUUCCGAACUUCACAGUUGCCAAAGGUUCUAAGUGCCAUAGUUGUGUGCAAUCUAAGCAACCUCGAAAGCCUCAUAAGGCUGCCGAGGAGAGAAACUUGGCACCUCUAGAACUCAUACAUUCUGAUCUUUGUGAGAUGAAUGGUGUGUUGACAAAAGGUGGAAAGAGAUAUUUCAUGACUUUGAUUGAUGAUGCGACUAGAUUUUGCUAUGUUUAUUUGUUACAAACUAAAGAUGAAGCAUUAGACUACUUUAAAAUCUAUAAAGCUGAAGUUGAAAAUCAACUAGAGAGAAAGAUCAAGCGUCUUAGGUCCGAUCGUGGUGGAGAGUAUGUUCCAAAAGUUUUUGAUGAAUUUUGUGAGGAACAUGGUAUUAUUCAUGAGAGGACGCCUCCCUAUUCACCUCAAUCAAAUGGAGUGGCCGAGAGGAAAAACCGCACAUUGACUGACUUGGUGAAUGCCAUGUUAGACACUGCUGGUUUAUCUAAGGCAUGGUGGGGGAGGCUCUAUUGA